This 272-nucleotide long non-coding RNA is filed under the name Mytilus galloprovincialis (Mediterranean mussel). The record is from RNAcentral. Lineage: Eukaryota; Metazoa; Mollusca; Bivalvia; Mytilida; Mytilidae.
UAAUCCAAAAAUGUAACAGACAAAGAAUACCUACCAAGUAACAUUACAAUCUGAUGAUGAAUUGCUCAGAUUAUUUGCCAAUAGACAUACAUAGAAUAUGAUGUGUAAUUUCUCGUCAGUAGAUUCAAAAUAGAUUCUAAAUCUUAGCAUCAAUCAUUUAUGUAUAACAAAGGAUAAUUGUUAAGUUUUGUUGACGUUUUAAUUAUUUGUACAUUCCAUUUGUUUAUUUAUUGUGUAAUGGUAUCAUGUUACUAAAAGUGCAAUUUAUAGAG